RNAcentral lists this unclassified non-coding RNA (1337 nucleotides) under Neodiprion pinetum (white pine sawfly). Its description in RNAcentral is "hemoglobin-2, transcript variant X1". Lineage: Eukaryota; Metazoa; Arthropoda; Insecta; Hymenoptera; Diprionidae. The record is from RNAcentral.
AUAACUAGUUUAGACGUACGUAAUUUAAACAGUACGUUGUGCGCUGUGACAAAAUAAUCGCAAUCAGCUGACACGUGUUGUUCGACAAGCAGUCUGGGAAAAAGUUAAUUCUAUCCAUCCCUGCAUCCCGUUUUUCUACCGAUAUGGGAGGUUUGUUGUCUUCAUAUUGGGGAUAUUCCGGUGAUGACGAAUUAGAUCCGGCCAGCGGUCUGACAGGAAAGCAAAAAAGAUUGGUCACAGAAACGUGGGGGAUCAUGCGACAGGAUCCUAUGAAACUAGGAAUAGCGGUUAUGAUGAGAUUAUUCACCAAACAUCCCGAUUACCGGAGUCAGUUUCACGCCUUCAAAGAUACACCCCACGAAGAUCUACCGAAAAACAAAAGGUUUCAGGCUCACGCAUCGGCCAUCGCAAACGCGUUAAGUACCAUCAUUGAUUCCCUGAAGGAUCCAGGCUUGCUGGAAGCUAUUCUAAUAUCCCUUGGGGAGAAACACCAUAAGCGUGGACAGACGGUAGAACAAUUUAACAAUCUAAAACUGGUACUGUUGGUCGUCUUCAAAGAAUUUCUGGGCUCGAGGUGGACGCCAGAAGUGAAUAAUGCCUGGAGCAAAGCUCUCGACUUCGUGUACAGCAUCAUCUUUAAGGUGUACGCGUAGUGAUUAACCCGAAUAAACAAGGCUGAAGGCCUCGUUCUGCGGGCGCAAUAUGUUGUUGUUAACCAUAACCGACGUUCACGGAGUUUACCGGCGUAGAAGGAAUGACGUUCUUUUUUACAUAGCAAUGUUAUCGCAACAAUUGUUUAUAAUACUGCUACACCUCGAUGUAACUACGGUGGCCUGAAGAACGAUCCCACUUAUAUCGUAAACACAUGACGAUAUCGAGUUGGCACGUUGCUGAGUUGAGAAUCGUAGGAAACGAAUGUGACUGAGGGUUAAUUAUGAUACGAUGGAUAUGCAAUCUGAAGGAAUUUACACGUUUCUUUUUUAUUUAUAUUAAAUGUGGAUUUUAACACAUUAAAAAUAUCCCCUUGACCGGAGCUUUGUGAAAUUCAAACCAGUUCACGAACUGAUUGCUACAGAAUCAAUAAGAAUAUACAUGUUUUCUUCUGGCCUGGAAUUCUCUACAAAUAUACAUGUGCCUAACAAAAUUGCUCAGCUGCGCAUCAAUAUUGUAUUGAAUUUAAGAAUCUUCGAGGGCGUUUAAUAAAGGAAAUUCGAUCUCACUAAAUCUUUGCAUUCGCAUCACCAUGGAGUUUGAUUUUUACACUUACUGUUAUAAAUUAAUUAUUAUUCAUGCAACUUGGCUCGUUCACUGUAAAUAAAAAUAAAUGAGUACAACGG